GGUUAAAAAGCUCGUAGUUGGAUCUCGGCGGGCAGGGGGUGGCUCGCUCUUCAGCGCUACUGCCCCGCUUUGCCCGUGUGAUUGGCGGAGGUUUCGGGGUGCUCUUCGUUGAGUGACUCGGAGCGCCGUCAGGUUUACUUUGAAAAAAUUAGAGUGCUCAAAGCAGGCUUUUCACGCUUGAAUAUUCGUGCAUGGAAUAAUGGAAUAGGAACUCGUUUCUAUUUUGUUGGUUUUCGGAAAUCGAGUUAAUGGUUAACAGGGACAAUUGGGGGCAUUAGUAUUCAGACGACAGAGGUGAAAUUCUUGGACCGUCUGAAGACUGACUACUGCGAAAGCAUUUGCCAAGAGUGUUUUCAUUAAUCAAGAACGAAAGUUAGAGGUUCGAAGGCGAUCAGAUACCGCCCUAGUUCUAACCAUAAACGAUGCCAGCUAGCGAUCUGCCGAGUUUUUUUUGUAGGCUCCGCAGGAAGCUUUCGGGAAACCAAAGCUUUUGGGUUCCGGGGGAAGUAUGGUUGCAAAGCUGAGACUUAAAGGAAUUGACGGAAGGGCACCCCCAGGAGUGGAGCCUGCGGCCUUAAUUUGACUC
Molecule: ribosomal RNA, 586 nt
Filed under: uncultured marine eukaryote
Lineage: Eukaryota
Description: SSU rRNA
Rfam family: Eukaryotic small subunit ribosomal RNA
Source: RNAcentral